This 221-nucleotide long non-coding RNA is filed under the name Sorghum bicolor (sorghum). Its description in RNAcentral is "long non-coding RNA (SBIC_LNC005831)". Lineage: Eukaryota; Viridiplantae; Streptophyta; Magnoliopsida; Poales; Poaceae. The record is from RNAcentral.
AGGGUGGAGCCAGGAGGAGCUAGCUAGCUGCUGCUCGAACGAGUGAUCAGAUAUAGCAAAAAUAAACCAAAAGGCAUUAGAUUCGAUGCGAUCGUUGUCUAUCGUGUUCAAGUCUGAAAGUUCGUCGCCCUCAUCGCUAUCAUUUGUACUAUUCCUAAAGUGCAUAUUAUUCCUACAUCUGGGGCAGGAAUUCCUUUUUAAUGAAAUGCUACAUCCCGGCC